This 468-nucleotide ribosomal RNA is filed under the name uncultured bacterium. RNAcentral describes it as "partial 16S ribosomal RNA". It matches the Rfam family "Bacterial small subunit ribosomal RNA", at positions 28 to 507 of the family's 1533-position model. The record is from RNAcentral.
GACGAACGCUGGCGGCGUGCUUAACACAUGCAAGUCGAACGGAAAGGCCCUGCUUUUGUGGGGUGCUCGAGUGGCGAACGGGUGAGUAACACGUGAGUAACCUGCCCUUGACUUUGGGAUAACUUCAGGAAACUGGGGCUAAUACCGGAUAGGAGCUCCUGCUGCAUGGUGGGGGUUGGAAAGUUUCGGCGGUUGGGGAUGGACUCGCGGCUUAUCAGCUUGUUGGUGGGGUAGUGGCUUACCAAGGCUUUGACGGGUAGCCGGCCUGGGAGGGUGACCGGCCACAUUGGGACUGCGGUACGGCCCAGACGCCUACGGGAGGCAGCAGUGGGGAACAUUGCACAAUGGGCGGAAGCCUGAUGCAGCAACGCCGCGUGCGGGAUGACGGCCUUCGGGUUGUAAACCGCUUUCGCCUGUGACGAAGCGUGAGUGACGGUAAUGGGUAAAGAAGCACCGGCUAACUACGUG